This 270-nucleotide ribosomal RNA is filed under the name uncultured archaeon. RNAcentral describes it as "partial 16S ribosomal RNA". It matches the Rfam family "Archaeal small subunit ribosomal RNA", at positions 477 to 747 of the family's 1478-position model. The record is from RNAcentral.
CAGCACCUCAAGUGGUCAGGAUGAUUAUUGGGCCUAAAGCACCCGUAGCCGGCGCUGUAAGUUUUCGGUUAAAUCUGUACGCUCAACGGACAGGCUGCCGGGAAUACUGCAGCGCUAGGGAGUGGGAGAGGUAGACGGUACUCGGUAGGAAGGGGUAAAAUCCUUUGAUCUAUUGAUGACCACCUGUGGCGAAGGCGGUCUACCAGAACACGUCCGACGGUGAGGGAUGAAAGCUGGGGGAGCAAACCGGAUUAGAUACCCGAGUAGUCC